This 75-nucleotide ribosomal RNA is filed under the name Nitrospirota bacterium. RNAcentral describes it as "Nitrospirae bacterium (hot springs metagenome) partial 23S ribosomal RNA". It matches the Rfam family "Bacterial large subunit ribosomal RNA", at positions 2851 to 2925 of the family's 2925-position model. The record is from RNAcentral. Lineage: Bacteria; Pseudomonadati; Nitrospirota.
CGUUGAUAGGCUGGAGGUGUAAGUACAGUAAUGUAUUCAGCUGACCAGUACUAAUAGACCGUGAGACUUGACCCU